CCUCCUUUUCUUGGCGGGCAUUGAGGGUGCAGUCCUGAUGCCCCUAAUAUCUAGAAGCAGAAGGUAAGGGCUCCAUGCCCCUCGGUGUCAUGUCUUCGGUGCCGGCGGUUUGCAAUCCACCAGUUCUAUCCUCAAGCACCGGGACACGA
This is a small nucleolar RNA of Suncus etruscus (white-toothed pygmy shrew), 149 nucleotides long. RefSeq annotates it as small nucleolar RNA SNORA57. The transcript has a single exon. Lineage: Eukaryota; Metazoa; Chordata; Mammalia; Eulipotyphla; Soricidae. The record is from RefSeq and is a predicted model, not a curated record.